UGGUAAUGCCGGAUGCUCCGGUUGGAUGCAUGUCCUUCCGGGAAAGAUCCAUCGGUAUGGGAUGGGGUCGCGUCCUAUCAGCUUGAUGGCGGGGUAACGGCCCACCAUGGCUUCGACGGGUAGCCGGCCUGAGAGGGCGACCGGCCACAUUGGGACUGAGAUACGGCCCAGACUCCUACGGGAGGCAGCAGUGGGGAAUAUUGCACAAUGGGCGCAAGCCUGAUGCAGCGACGCCGCGUGCGGGAUGGAGGCCUUCGGGUUGUAAACCGCUUUUGAUCGGGAGCAAGCCCUUCGGGGUGAGUGUACCUUUCGAAUAAGCACCGGCUAACUACGUGCCAGCAGCCGCGGUAAUACGUAGGGUGCAAGCGUUAUCCGGAAUUAUUGGGCGUAAAGGGCUCGUAGGCGGUUCGUCGCGUCCGGUGUGAAAGCCCAUCGCUUAACGGUGGGUCUGCGCCGGGUACGGGCGGGCUGGAGUGCGGUAGGGGAGACUGGAAUUCCCGGUGUAACGGUGGAAUGUGUAGAUAUCG
This 527-nucleotide ribosomal RNA is filed under the name Bifidobacterium dentium. RNAcentral describes it as "bacterial SSU rRNA". It matches the Rfam family "Bacterial small subunit ribosomal RNA", at positions 161 to 699 of the family's 1533-position model. Lineage: Bacteria; Bacillati; Actinomycetota; Actinomycetes; Bifidobacteriales; Bifidobacteriaceae. The record is from RNAcentral.